RNAcentral lists this ribosomal RNA (379 nucleotides) under uncultured bacterium. RNAcentral's name for it is "bacterial SSU rRNA". It matches the Rfam family "Bacterial small subunit ribosomal RNA", at positions 30 to 409 of the family's 1533-position model. The record is from RNAcentral.
AUUGAACGCUGGCGGCAUGCCUUACACAUGCAAGUCGAACGGCAGCACGGGAGCAAUCCUGGUGGCGAGUGGCGAACGGGUGAGUAAUAUAUCGGAACGUGCCCGGUCGUGGGGGAUAACGUAGCGAAAGCUACGCUAAUACCGCAUACGAUCUACGGAUGAAAGCGGGGGAUCGCAAGACCUCGCGCGAUUGGAGCGGCCGAUAUCAGAUUAGGUAGUUGGUGAGGUAAAGGCUCACCAAGCCGACGAUCUGUAGCUGGUUUGAGAGAACGACCAGCCACACUGGGACUGAGACACGGCCCAGACUCCUACGGGAGGCAGCAGUGGGGAAUUUUGGACAAGUGGGCGAAGCCUGAUCCAGCAAUGCCGCGUGCAGGAA